CCUCCCUCAGCGCCCUCGGGUACCACAGAGCGGGUGAUGGGUUAGGCUGAGCAGGAGGGAGGCCUUGGCACCGCACAGGCAGCACGGGGCAGGGUAUCACCCUGAGAUGUGGCAGCCAAACGCAUCUCCUCAUCACCAUGGCUCCCUGUUAUUAGGUGCUGCUGCUGGGAUCCCUGGUCAGGCAGGAUUCCAGCGUUUAAGGGCCAUCGGAACAAAAUGUCUCUCCUCAUCCUGGAGGAGUUCGCAAUCAUCAAGGUGAUUUGCCUGGGUUUUAAGUUAGGGAUGUGCCUGAGAGUCUCUGUGGCAGAGAAGUUGAGGCUCGUAUGGGAGGGGCUUUUCCCAGGGAUGGUUUGCUGGUGUCUGGCAAAGCUUGGAUGGAAGCCUGGGAAUCCUCCUUCUCUUUGCCAGGCUUUGAUGCUUGGGCUCUUUGCCUUUAAUCUUUGGCAUCUUUGCAGACAAUAUCAGAGCUAUCAAAGAAUUCUACCGCAAUGUGAGCCAUGAGACUGCUGGGAAAAGUACAGGGCUACAUCACUUGUCUGAAAGUCAACAACUGCAUGAAGCCAAUUGCUUUGUAAUGAUUUGUAUUUGUUAUGAGGGCGGGUUCAGGAGAUACACAGGCUUUGGGCUGGGAGCACAUUUCAUACUGGGUAAGGCAUCACAGCCCUCCCAUACAACAGGGUUUGUGGAGGCUGCUUAUAAAGGUAGGACCUGAAUCAGUAAAUCCAUUGAUAUCUGGAGACAUAGUUAGAGAUGAGCUGGGUUUUUACUGCUUUCUGUUUCUCACUUUAUUGGGAUAGAGCCCAGCCUGCUAGAUAUUUACUAUCGGCCAAGCUGGGAUGCUGAAUGCUGGAAGCAGCUGAAGAAUCCAGCCUGGUCCCUCACGCAUCCCAUUCCCUGAGCACACUCUGACACACGUGUCCAUCUUUCCCUUCCAUCACUAGCAAAAGGACAAACGAGCCCUGUGUUUGUGCUGUGGGAGGAGGCUGUGUGUUAUCUGGGAUGAUUCACCCUGAUAAAUAACCUCCUCGGAGGCCUGCUCUUGUUUAUAGCAACAGCCCCAAAUGCUGAAGAUGACAGCGAUUUUCAUGCGUGCUCUUCUCAUGCAUAUUUACCCAGCAGUUUUAUCAGAAUUAUCUCAAGCAAACCUCAGUGUUUUUAUGAUUAAUUGACUAAUGGUAAAAAUAAAGGCGUUUGGAGAGGUGCCCAGUGAGCAGUGUGUAAUAUAGCAACCAGAGCCGGAGUCUCAGGGGAUUGUUUCUGGGAAAAUCCACAUUGGUUUAAAGGGACAGUGCUCCUUCCGCUCCCAGAGCGGGUGAGUUACUCUGAGCCCCACAGCACAGGGCAUCCCCAUCUAUCCACCAUCCCACUGGCUUUAUAUUACUUUCCAAUCCAUCCACUAAGGAGCUGUGUGUGGAUGUGAACAGGGCACUGACAUACUGAUUCUCCUUACCCCAGGCUCAAAUGCUGUUGAUUUCUCCUCUGCCUCAGCCCCACUGUACCCACCUCACCUCUGCUCCAUGAACCUUAGCUCCAUGCUCUCCCUGACCUAAGCCUUUCCUGAUGCUGCUCUCCAGUUGCUGCCACCACUUCCUCAGUUUUUGCUGGCUCAGGGCAUUGUUUUAUCAGGCUGGGAUAGUUUUAUCAGUCUGGGCUCUGCAGUUCAGCCUGAGCCUCACCUCUGCUGUCAUUGGAGAAGUGUGUCACACUGGGAUCUCUGCCCUGCUCACCUUGGGGCUGUGAGUGUGCAGGACCAGAGAUGGUUUUCCUUGCCUCCUCUCUUUGAGGACUGAGAUAAAGCAGCAGGGGUAGAAAUAAGGCAAGAUGAAUUCGAAGGGACAAAACACAGUGAGGUGAAGCGAGAUGGAUUCUGUAAUGCACUUGGUGAGCCAUCAAAUCCUCUCUCAUAUCCCAGGGGAAUCCCAGAUCCCCGAACAAAUCAUCAAGCCCUGCAAACUACAUCAUCAGCAUCUUCCUCUGGAAAACAUCAUCAUGUUAAUCCAUUUGUCCUGGCAGCCAGAUGAUUGAGGUUUGAAAACUAAAUGACACACGUUUGCUGCAACAGCAUAAACGCAAUAAUGGCUCUCCUCCAUUACACUUGUAACCUGGUUAUAAUGGCUUUAAUGAGCUUUCAGCCUCGUCAGCCAAAAAGAAAGAUUAUCACAUGUUGCUUUAUAUUAUAAAGUGUCCUUUGUGCUGCUGGUGGCUGAGUACCUGCAGUCACCCACUGCAUGGGGUGCCCGUGGUUGGUGGGUGCCUAUCCCAAAGCUGGGGGGCUCCCAAAACGGGGCAGGACAUGGCAGUGGUGUGAGCCCCAUAGGCUGCUGGACACCCUGUGAGGGGAACAGGUACCUGUCCCCAUUACACAGGAUUAUCCUACGGUGUGGAGUUACUCCAACCAUGUGUCUUCCCAGCUUAACUUAAUAACAGGCUGUGAGCUCUACUUUGAUGUGCUCCUGUUUUUCACUAGUACCAUAUUUAACUGGACUCAUCAUCAUAAACUGGAACUGUUUCACUUUCAGUGCCAGGCUGGGCUUCCUGUUGGACUGGCAAAGGACACACCUGCACGACCACAUGUGCUGACAGUACCUGCUGGCAAUAACCUCUUAGAUGGCAACAGGAAAAAGAAAAACCCCAGAAGAAUGCUUUGCCAAAACAGGCUUGACAAACUUUAAAGACACACUGGAGGAGGUGGAGGUAAUUUGGGUGAGCAUUAGGUGAUUUCAUCCUGUCCCUCGGCAGGGAUCUGCUCCAGGACUGUGAUGUAGCUAUGGCAGCAUGCUGCAUUUGUGGGAUGCUCAGCUGUUUAUGUGUGGUUUUCUUAAGAAAUAAAGUUAAAACUGUCCCUUUGC
Molecule: long non-coding RNA, 2849 nt
Organism: Pezoporus flaviventris
Lineage: Eukaryota; Metazoa; Chordata; Aves; Psittaciformes; Psittacidae
Exons: 3
Source: RefSeq, a predicted model, not a curated record